GCAGCAGUGGGGAUAUUGCACAAUGGGGGAAACCCUGAUGCAGCCAUGCCGCGUGUGUGAAGAAGGCCUUCGGGUUGUAAAGCACUUUCAGUAGGGAGGAAAGGGUGUAGUUUAAUACGCUAUAUCUGUGACGUUACCUACAGAAGAAGGACCGGCUAACUCCGUGCCAGCAGCCGCGGUAAUACGGAGGGUCCGAGCGUUAAUCGGAAUUACUGGGCGUAAAGCGUGCGCAGGCGGUUUGUUAAGCGAGAUGUGAAAGCCCUGGGCUCAACCUAGGAAUAGCAUUUCGAACUGGCGAACUAGAGUCUUGUAGAGGGGGGUAGAAUUCCAGGUGUAGCGGUGAAAUGCGUAGAGAUCUGGAGGAAUACCGGUGGCGAAGGCGGCCCCCUGGACAAAGACUGACGCUCAUGCACGAAAGCGUGGGGAGCAAACAGGAUUAGAUACCCUGGUAGUCCACGCCGUAAACGAUGUCUACUCGGAGUUUGGUGUCUUGAACACUGGGCUCUCAAGCUAACGCAUUAAGUAGACCGCCUGGGGAGUACGGCCGCAAGGUUAAAACUCAAAUGAAUUGACGGGGGCCCCG
This 583-nucleotide ribosomal RNA is filed under the name Shewanella sp. Its description in RNAcentral is "bacterial SSU rRNA". It matches the Rfam family "Bacterial small subunit ribosomal RNA", at positions 348 to 924 of the family's 1533-position model. Lineage: Bacteria; Pseudomonadati; Pseudomonadota; Gammaproteobacteria; Alteromonadales; Shewanellaceae. The record is from RNAcentral.